CAAAGUCUCCGUUGGUGAACCAGCGGAGAGAUCAUUAU
RNAcentral lists this ribosomal RNA (38 nucleotides) under Metarhizium anisopliae. RNAcentral describes it as "partial 18S ribosomal RNA". The record is from RNAcentral. Lineage: Eukaryota; Fungi; Ascomycota; Sordariomycetes; Hypocreales; Clavicipitaceae.